Molecule: ribosomal RNA, 253 nt
Filed under: uncultured bacterium
Lineage: Bacteria
Description: partial 16S ribosomal RNA
Rfam family: Bacterial small subunit ribosomal RNA
Source: RNAcentral
UACAGAGGUGGCAAGCGUUGUUCGGAAUUACUGGGCGUAAAGGGCUUGUAGGCGGCCAACUAAGUCCGACGUGAAAUCCCCAGGCUUAACCUGGGAACUGCGUCGGAUACUGGAUGGCUUGAAUUCGGGAGAGGGAUGCAGAAUUCCAGGUGUAGCGGUGAAAUGCGUAGAUAUCUGGAGGAAUACCGGUGGCGAAGGCGGCAUCCUGGACCGACAUUGACGCUGAGGAGCGAAAGCUAGGGGAGCAAACGGG